This 200-nucleotide ribosomal RNA is filed under the name uncultured bacterium. Its description in RNAcentral is "partial 16S ribosomal RNA". It matches the Rfam family "Bacterial small subunit ribosomal RNA", at positions 8 to 237 of the family's 1533-position model. The record is from RNAcentral.
AGAGUUUGAUCCUGGCUCAGAACGAACGCUGGCGGCAGGCCUCAAACAUGCAAGUCUAGGGGGGUAGCAAUACCCACCGGCGGACGGGUGCGUAACACGUGGGAAUAUACCUUUCGGUACGGAACAACUGCGGGAAACUGCAGCUAAUACCGUAUACGUCCUUCGGGAGAAAGUUUUUCGCCGAAAGAUUAGCCCGCGUU